RNAcentral lists this ribosomal RNA (256 nucleotides) under uncultured bacterium. RNAcentral describes it as "partial 16S ribosomal RNA". It matches the Rfam family "Bacterial small subunit ribosomal RNA", at positions 99 to 354 of the family's 1533-position model. The record is from RNAcentral.
CGGACGGGUGAGUAACGCGUGGAAAACCUGCCGUAUACUGGGGGAUAACACUUAGAAAUAGGUGCUAAUACCGCAUAAGCGCACAGCUUCGCAUGAAGCGGUGUGAAAAACUCUGGUGGUAUACGAUGGUUCCGCGUCUGAUUAGCUAGUUGGUGGGGUAAUGGCCUACCAAGGCAACGAUCAGUAGCCGGCCUGAGAGGGUGAACGGCCACAUUGGGACUGAGACACGGCCCCAAGCUCCUACGGAAGGCAGCAG